AAUUGGAAUUUUGGAUUCAAGGUGUUUGAUCACAUGUUACGGAUGAGUUCUUGACUUUUAGAAGUACCUUGGAGUGUUGGAAACAACUAGGAAACAUAGGUAUAAUACCUAGGAACAUGUAUGAAAAAGUGGGGAAUUAAGGUAACGGGAAGGAUUGGCGUCCUUGGCACUCUAAGAGGCGUGGGGCGCCAGGCCUUAACUUCAAAGGGGACUACUGGGCACCCUGCCAGGUGCUCUGCUCUAAGGGGAAAGUUCAGCACCCCUUUUUGGGGUGGGCUGGCUGGCGCAACAGCCCAGCCCUUUUCCCCCAAAAAUCCGACUUUUUUCCCCUUGUUUCUUUCCAACUCUAAACCCUCUCCACCUUAAGGGUUCCAGCAGCAAAUACUUAGAAUCAUAAAGACCCUUAAUAUACAAUAGAUUCAGCUCAAAAAUCACGGCUGGCAAUCUGUACUAAACCAUCAAGAACUUCAACACAACACCACUACAACUUCAACAACCAAUAAAUCUUCUCUUGGAAUUAAAAACAAGUUAGUGUGUGGGGGUAUGAACCAACCAACACUAAGGAUCAUCAAUCUCUCAACAUACAAUAAAUUACAACUCAAAUACACAACCCAAUCAUGUCCCACAACCAACAAUAACUUCAACAACACAACUAACAACAUCAACAACAACUAACAACUUCAACAACAAUCCAAUCUUUUCUCAAAUUAUAAAAAUGAGCUUGGUGUGUGGGGGAAAGGAUCAAACCACACAAAGAACUCACAUACCUUGAUAGGG
Molecule: long non-coding RNA, 777 nt
Filed under: Solanum tuberosum (potato)
Lineage: Eukaryota; Viridiplantae; Streptophyta; Magnoliopsida; Solanales; Solanaceae
Description: long non-coding RNA (STUB_LNC004314)
Source: RNAcentral